UGAGGAAUUUUGCGCAAUGGCCUCAAGGCUGACGCAGCAACGCCGCGUGGGUGAAGAAGGCCUUCGGGUCGUAAAGCCCUGUCAGGUGGGAAGAAUGAUUCGGGGAGUAAUACGCCCUGGAUGUGACGGUACCACCAGAGGAAGCACCGGCUAACUCCGUGCCAGCAGCCGCGGUAAUACGGAGGUUGCAAGCGUUGUUCGGAAUUACUGGGCGUAAAGGGAGCGCAGGCGGCCGAAUCAGUCUGAAGUGAAAUCCCGGAGCUUAACUCCGGACGUGCUUUGGAUACUGUUUGGCUUGAGUUCGCGAGAGGUAAGCGGAAUUCCAGGUGUAGCGGUGAAAUGCGUAGAUAUCUGGAGGAACAUCGGUGGCGAAAGCGGCUUACUGGCGCGAUACUGACGCUGAGGCUCGAAAGCGUGGGGAGCGAACG
Molecule: ribosomal RNA, 428 nt
Filed under: uncultured prokaryote
Description: bacterial SSU rRNA
Rfam family: Bacterial small subunit ribosomal RNA
Source: RNAcentral